CAUUUGAUGACUGAAAAAAGUGCAAGUCUUUUAAACUUGUUAUAGUAAUUAAUACUUCAAAUGA
RNAcentral lists this transfer RNA (64 nucleotides) under Kiwa tyleri. RNAcentral describes it as "tRNA-Lys". The record is from RNAcentral. Lineage: Eukaryota; Metazoa; Arthropoda; Malacostraca; Decapoda; Kiwaidae.